This 484-nucleotide ribosomal RNA is filed under the name uncultured bacterium. RNAcentral's name for it is "partial 16S ribosomal RNA". It matches the Rfam family "Bacterial small subunit ribosomal RNA", at positions 30 to 507 of the family's 1533-position model. The record is from RNAcentral.
AUUGAACGCUGGCGGCAGGCCUAACACAUGCAAGUCGAGCGGAUGAAGGGAGCUUGCUCCUGGAUUCAGCGGCGGACGGGUGAGUAAUGCCUAGGAAUCUGCCUGGUAGUGGGGGAUAACGUCCGGAAACGGGCGCUAAUACCGCAUACGUCCUGAGGGAGAAAGUGGGGGAUCUUCGGACCUCAUGCUAUCAGAUGAGCCUAGGUCGGAUUAGCUAGUUGGUGGGGUAAAGGCCUGCCAAGGCGACGAUCCGUAACUGGUCUGAGAGGAUGAUCAGUCACACUGGAACUGAGACACGGUCCAGACUCCUACGGGAGGCAGCAGUGGGGAAUAUUGGACAAUGGGCGAAAGCCUGAUCCAGCCAUGCCGCGUGUGUGAAGAAGGUCUUCGGAUUGUAAAGCACUUUAAGUUGGGAGGAAGGGCAGUAAGUUAAUACCUUGCUGUUUUGACGUUACCAACAGAAUAAGCACCGGCUAACUUCGUG